Molecule: ribosomal RNA, 941 nt
Filed under: uncultured archaeon
Lineage: Archaea
Description: bacterial SSU rRNA
Rfam family: Archaeal small subunit ribosomal RNA
Source: RNAcentral
UCCGGUUGAUCCUGCCGGACCCGACUGCUAUCAGGGUGGGGCUAACCCAUGGAAGUCUAGGAGCCGGGGCUACGGCCGGCUCCGGCGGACGGCUCAGUAGCACGUGGCUAACCUACCCUCGGGAGGGGGAUAACCCCGGGAAACUGGGGCUAAUCCCCCAUAGGCGCAGACUCCUGGAAUGGGUCCGCGCUGAAAAGGCUGCAACGCCAUGCCCGUUGCAGCCGCCCGAGGAUGGGGCUGCGCCCCAUCAGGUAGUUGGCGGGGUAACGGCCCGCCAAGCCGAUAACGGGUGGGGGCCGUGAGAGCGGGAGCCCCGAGAUGGGCACUGAGACAAGGGCCCAGGCCCUACGGGGCGCACCAGGGGCGAAACUUCCGCAAUGCGGGAAACCGUGACGGAGCCACCCUGAGUGCCACCCGAUGAGGGUGGCUUUUGCCCGGUCUAAAAAGCCGGGCGAAUAAGCGGGGGGCAAGCCUGGUGUCAGCCGCCGCGGUAAUACCAGCCCCGCGAGUGGUCGGGACGAUUAUUGGGCCUAAAGCGUCCGUAGCCGGCCCGGCAAGUCCCCCUUUAAAGCCCACGGCUCAACCGUGGGAGCGGGGGGAUACUGUCGGGCUAGGGGGCGGGAGAGGCCGGGGGUACUCCUGGGGUAGGGGCGAAAUCCUAUAAUCCCAGGAGGACCACCAGUGGCGAAGGCGCCCGGCUGGAACGCGCCCGACGGUGAGGGACGAAAGCUGGGGGAGCAAAGGGGAUUAGAUACCCCCGUAGUCCCAGCUGUAAACGAUGCGGGCUAGGUGUUGGGUGGGCCUCGAGCCCGCCCAGUGUCGUAGGGAAGCCGUUAAGCCCGCCGCCUGGGGAGUACGGCCGCAAGGCUGAAACUUAAAGGAAUUGGUGGGGGAGCACCACAAGGGGUGAAGCUUUCGGUUUAAUUGGAGUCAACGCCGGG